This is a long non-coding RNA of Xenia sp. Carnegie-2017, 910 nucleotides long. RefSeq lists it as uncharacterized. Lineage: Eukaryota; Metazoa; Cnidaria; Anthozoa; Malacalcyonacea; Xeniidae. The transcript is spliced from 2 exons. The record is from RefSeq and is a predicted model, not a curated record.
ACAAAUUCUUCCCAUUGACGAGCGUGGAACAUAUGCUGCAUCUUUAGUAUCCCCUACCACCAUUACGUCAUUACAUUGCGUCAUCAUUGAUAUGUUUAAUUACUAUUGUUUAGUAUAGACAACGUCAUUCACAUUAAUAUAUGGAGGAUAUCUGGGGAAGACGGGCGCUCAUGUAGGAUAUUAUCGAUAAUCGUAACUAUUGAGGAAAUCAACUUUUAAUCGUUCAGCAUCCAACUUUGAGUAUCUUUCUUUGAGGAGGACAUCCGGGGAACAAGGGUGUUUACGAGGGAUAUUGUGGUACACAAUCGUACCAAUUAAGGAAAUCAACUUUUAACGUCCAGCUUUGAGUAUAUUUCCUUCACAAAGUUGUCCUGUUCUACGAAAUAAAUUAGAGUUCAAACGACCAGACAGGGCAGCUAACAAAGACUCAUGGAAUAAGUUUGUUAUGGCUACAAAGAAAUAACUUCAGAAAAGAAAGUCACUAUAAUUCACGAGUAGACAAUGAAAACUUUACAGCAAGUUUUACGAUUUUUUUACAAGGAAAGGCAACAGGGAUAUUGUCCUUGAUGAUGGGACUGUUCUGUCAAAUGGGAAAUGAUUGAUACUUUAUUUACCUAUUUUAUCUAUGAUUAUUGUAUGUCUUGUAAUAGUCUUGAUCUUAAUUGCACUUUAUGCAUAUUUUGACUAGUGAUGACAACGACAGUUCCUAGUUAAGAACGGUUUCGUAGCCAGAAAUUAAAUUUUGUCCUGUAGAGCAAAUUUUUCUUUCAUUACUGCAAAAAAAAACAUCAGAUUUCUAAACAAAUUAAUGAUUAUCAUAAUGUUCUGAAAUGUACUUAGCAGGACCAAAACUUGCAGCCUGGCGACGUUACUAGUUUAGAAGCUAUCAAAUUAUACUGUCCAAUAGCAU